Molecule: unclassified non-coding RNA, 252 nt
Filed under: Hevea brasiliensis (rubber tree)
Lineage: Eukaryota; Viridiplantae; Streptophyta; Magnoliopsida; Malpighiales; Euphorbiaceae
Source: RNAcentral
UCUCUCAACCAUUCAACUCUCUUUCUAAUAUCUCAAUCUUUUUCUCCUCCAUACUUUUACAGAAUGGGAAGCUCUGGUGGUAUUGACUAUGGUUCUUACACUUAUGAGAAUCUUGAGAGGGAACCUUACUGGCCGUCUGAGAAGCUCCGUAUUUCCAUUACUGGGGCUGGAGGGUUUAUCGCUUCUCACAUUGCUCGCCGUUUGAAGAGCGAGGGCCACUACAUAAUUGCCUCUGAUUGGAAGAAGAAUGAG